This 244-nucleotide long non-coding RNA is filed under the name Homo sapiens (human). Its description in RNAcentral is "non-protein coding lnc-ZC3H11B-10:1". The record is from RNAcentral. Lineage: Eukaryota; Metazoa; Chordata; Mammalia; Primates; Hominidae.
ACCCUCUUUAUCGCUUCCAGAGAAUCUGGGAAAUGUCAACUCCAAUGUAAAUAACUUGCAGUCUGUUCAAGGAUCCAACCAAUGAAGUACAAAUGCACUAGUACUCUCUUUAGUAAUUUUGAAAAUGUUUUUGAAUCAAUACCAAUAAAAAUCCACAAAAGAGAUAUGCCAAAUGAUGAUUUGUAUGACUAAAUCAGACAUUCAGAAGCCUUACCCAUUUCUCAAGACUAAGAGCCUAUACCUA